Fukomys damarensis (Damara mole-rat) is the source of this 561-nucleotide long non-coding RNA. RefSeq lists it as uncharacterized. Lineage: Eukaryota; Metazoa; Chordata; Mammalia; Rodentia; Bathyergidae. The record is from RefSeq and is a predicted model, not a curated record. The transcript has 3 exons.
UCGUGUUCCAGGGUUUCUGCCUGUCCUUCAGGGAAAACUAUAUCUGACACUGGUUUAUUAAAAAGCUGCCUGUGGUACCAGAGUCUCGCUAAAUCGCUAAACCCCUAAACCCUAGGCUGGACUCCAACUUGUGAUCCUCCUGCCUCCCAGAGACUGAAUUCCAGGCCUGUGCAAAGGACCAGUUCUGCAGCAAAAUACCACAAUGUUCCGAGAUUUGCUGGAACGCCCAGGGAUCGGCCCGCUGACAAGGAUGUGUAAGAAGUGUAGAACCUACGAGUGCUUCCUUCUUUCCUUGUUGGGAUUCGUGGCUGUGAUUCUGGGAACCGUCCUCAUCGCGCAGGCCCACUUGCGCCCCACGGCGUUCACCGUGGGAAUCGUACUGAUAGCGGUGAGCGUGUUCAUAGUCACCCUGGCCACUUCACUGGCGUGGUGCAGAGCCGAAGAGACGUCGGAGAGAAGCCUGAACGUGAGGCUGCAGGGACGGACUGACUGGGACAGUGCUCUGCAGGAGUCUGUGGAGACAGCCAGCACCACCCUGUGACACUGUGGAGCACUCGAUAU